UGACUCAAAAAUGGACGGUGUUAUUUUUUAGUCAAAUUUGAAUGAAACAUCAUUGAAAACUGUAGAGUAACUUCUUCGAUAGAUUUUUGUUUUCUUGCUUCGUUUUGGAGAUAUUUCAUUUUGUAUGAUAUGCAAAGGAUCAACUGUCUACGUCACAUAUGCAUAAUGAUUUAGCCCUAAAAGUUCUAUAUCUUUAAUACGACUAAACACAAUCAGUAGAAAACCUAUAUGGGUGUUGUUGUGGACAAAUCUCGUGCUCAUCAUUCAUUUUGAGCGAAUUUAUUUGAUAGUGACAAAAUUAUAUAACAUUUUAAAGUAAGUCAUUAUGCAUAUGUGACGUAGGAAGUUGGCUUUGCAUGUCAUACAAAAUGAAAUAUCUCCAAAACGAAGCAAGUAAACAAAAAUCUAUCAAAGAAGUUACUCUACAG
Molecule: non-coding RNA, 428 nt
Organism: Paramuricea clavata
Lineage: Eukaryota; Metazoa; Cnidaria; Anthozoa; Malacalcyonacea; Plexauridae
Source: the annotation of a GenBank genome assembly